UUGAAGUUGCUGCAGUUAAAAAGCUCGUAGUUGAAUAUCCGGCGUCUCUGACGUCUGCCCGACUCGGCUGUAGAUGUUGAGAAACUUUUACUGUUCGAUCAGGCGUUUACUGUGAACAAAUUAGAGUGCUCAAAACAGGCUUUUGCUUGAAUUUUUUAGCAUGGAAUAAUAAAAUACGACUUCGCUCAUUUUAUUGGUUCUUGAACGAAGUAAUGGUUAACAGGAACAGUUGGGGGCAUUCGUACUUAAAAGUCAGAGGUGAAAUUCUUAGAUUUUUUAAAGACGAACUAAUGCGGAGGCAUUUGCCAAGGAUGUUUUCAUUAAUCAAGAACGAAAGCGUUGGGAUCAAAAAGGAUCAGAUACCCUUGUAGUCAACGCCGUAAACGAUACUGACUAGGGAUUGGUGAGGCGAACCCUCAUCAGCACCUAAUGAGAAAUCAAAGUCUUUGAGUUCUGGGGAGAGUAUGGUCGCAAGGCUGAAACUUAAAGGAAUUGACGGAAAGAUACACAAGUCGUGGAUUCUGCGGCUUAAUUUGAUUCAACACGGGAAAACUUACGCAGGCAAAAAGCUAGUAGGAUUGACAGCUUGAUAGCACUUUCUUGAUUUGGCAGCGAGUGGUGCAUGGCCGUUCUUA
This 635-nucleotide ribosomal RNA is filed under the name uncultured eukaryote. RNAcentral's name for it is "SSU rRNA". It matches the Rfam family "Eukaryotic small subunit ribosomal RNA", at positions 604 to 1296 of the family's 1831-position model. The record is from RNAcentral.